AGGAUAAACGCUGGCGGCGUGCCUAACACAUGCAAGUCGAACGUCCUUUCUUGCUUCGGUGAGAGAGGGAGUGGCGGACGGGUGAGUAACACAUGGGUGACCUGGCCUGAAGUGAGGGAUAGCAGACCGAAAGGUCUAUUAAUACCCCAUAUGUGUAUAUCUCGACAGAGGUAUACAUGAAAGGAGUAAUCCGUCUUAGGAUGAGCCCGCGCCCGAUUAGCUAGUUGGUAGGGUAAUGGCCUACCAAGGCUUCGAUCGGUAGGUGGUCUGAGAGGAUGAUCACCCACAAUGGGACUGAGACACGGCCCAUACUCCUACGGGAGGCAGCAGUGGGGAAUUUUGUGCAAUGGGGGAAACCCUGACACAGCGACACCGCGUGAGCGAAGAAGCCCUUUGGGGUGUAAAGCUCUGUCAGCUGGAACGAAAAAAAUGACGGUACCAGCAGAGGAAGCAUCGGCUAACUACGUGCCAGCAGCCGCGGUAAGACGCAGGAUGCGAGCGUUGUCCGGAUUUAUUGGGCGUAAAGAGUUCGUAGGUGGUUUGUUAAGUCUGAUGUUAAAGAUCGGGGCUCAACCCCGGGAGUGCAUUGGAUACUGGCAGACUGGAGUGUAGUAGAGGCAAGCGGAAUUCCCAGUGUAGCGGUGAAAUGCGUAGAUAUUGGGAAGAACACCAGUGGCGUAAGCGGCUUGCUGGGCUAUAACUGACACUGAGGAACGAAAGCCAGGGGAGCGAAUGGGAUUAGAUACCCCAGUAGUCCUGGCCGUAAACGAUGGAUACUAGGCGUAGCGGGUAUCGACCCCUGCUGUGCCGCAGCAAACGCGAUAAGUAUCCCGCCUGAGUAGUACGGCCGCAAGGUGAA
This 859-nucleotide ribosomal RNA is filed under the name uncultured bacterium. RNAcentral describes it as "bacterial SSU rRNA". It matches the Rfam family "Bacterial small subunit ribosomal RNA", at positions 26 to 897 of the family's 1533-position model. The record is from RNAcentral.